This is a non-coding RNA of Paramormyrops kingsleyae, 933 nucleotides long. NCBI's taxonomy places the organism in Eukaryota, Metazoa, Chordata, Actinopteri, Osteoglossiformes, Mormyridae. The record is from the annotation of a RefSeq genome assembly.
GCAUUUUCAGCUCAUGCCUCAGUGCUCUGGGAGGGUUUAUAUUCCAGGAGGUUUAACACUUCAUGACUGACAGCUGACCUUCAUCACAACAGACUCCAAAGAAACAUGACUUUGAUCAGUCUCAGCAUCUUGCUCUUCAUCCUCACUCACGAAUGCAGAGGACAAGUGACUGUGACUCAGACUCCAGAGCUGAUAUCAGCUUCUUCAGGACAGACAGUCACUAUAAACUGUAAAACCAGCAGCUCUGUGUAUACUGAUAGUAAUGGCCCCCGCAUGGCCUGGUACCAGCAGAGACCUGGAGAAGCUCCUAAACUUUUGAUCUAUUUUGCAAGAACCCGUAUCUCUGGGAUUCCGUCUCGAUUCAGUGGCAGCGGAUCUAGUACUGACUUCACUCUGACCAUCAGUGGAGUCCAGGCUGAAGAUGCAGGAGAUUAUUACUGUCAGAGUGAACAUAACAUUGGUGGUAGCUGGCCGUACACUUUCGGCGGCGGGACCAGACUGGAUAUUGGCAGUAACACAGCCCCCACCCUGACGGUCCUGCCCCCCUCCGGUGUGGAGGUGUCCAGCAAGAACACGGCCACCCUGAUGUGCCUGGCCAACAAGGGCUUCCCCUCCGACUGGAAGCUGAGCUGGAAGGUGGACGGUAAAAGCAAAGCCGCGGAGACGAGCCGCGGGCUCCUGGAGAAGGACGGCCUGUACAGCUGGAGCAGCAGCCUGAGCCUCACUGCGGACGAGUGGAAGAAGGCGGGCUCAGUGGUCUGUGUGGCCAAUCAGGGCUCCCAGGCUGCUGUCACUCAAACGCUGAAGAGAGCCGACUGUUCAGAGUAGAUGAGCUCAGCGUCACCUCAGACUUGAGCUUUGCAUGAUCCAUGAGUGAAUAUCUUUACUGAUGUUUUAUAGGCUUUUGUGUCUCCUUGUAUUAUCUUGUGUGUU